GCACAUGUGGCGGAAUUGGUAGACGCGCUAGCUUGAGGGGCUAGUAUCCUUUUUGGAUGUGCAGGUUCAAGUCCUGUUAUGUGCA
RNAcentral lists this transfer RNA (85 nucleotides) under Flavobacteriaceae bacterium. Its description in RNAcentral is "tRNA-Leu". It matches the Rfam family "tRNA". From Rfam's summary of the family: Transfer RNA (tRNA) molecules are approximately 80 nucleotides in length. Their secondary structure includes four short double-helical elements and three loops (D, anti-codon, and T loops). The record is from RNAcentral. Lineage: Bacteria; Pseudomonadati; Bacteroidota; Flavobacteriia; Flavobacteriales; Flavobacteriaceae. RNAcentral also lists the same sequence under 3 other names.